GCAGGAAUACUACAGAGAUGUGGUAGCUAGCAAUAGUCUGUAUCGAGGUGCUGCAUGGUUGUCGUCAGCUCGUGCCGUGAGGUGUCGGCUUAAGUGCCAUAACGAGCGCAACCCUUGUCGUUAGUUGCCAUCAGGUCAAGCUGGGAACUCUAACGAGACUGCCACCGUAAGGUGUGAGGAAGGGGGGGAUGACGUCAAAUCAGCACGGCCCUUACGUCCGGGGCGACACACGUGUUACAAUGGCAGGUACAGAGGGGAGCUACCCAGCGAUGGGGUGCGAAUCUCGAAAGCCUGUCUCAGUUCGGAUUGGAGUCUGCAACUCGACUCCAUGAAGUUGGAUUCGCUAGUAAUCGCGCAUCAGCCAUGGCGCGGUGAAUACGUUCCCGGGCCUUGUACACACCGCCCGUCAAGCCAUGGAAGCCGGGGGUGCCUGAAGUUCGUGACCGCAAGGAGCGACC
This 458-nucleotide ribosomal RNA is filed under the name Bacteroidales bacterium enrichment culture. RNAcentral describes it as "bacterial SSU rRNA". It matches the Rfam family "Bacterial small subunit ribosomal RNA", at positions 989 to 1457 of the family's 1533-position model. The record is from RNAcentral. Lineage: Bacteria; Pseudomonadati; Bacteroidota; Bacteroidia; Bacteroidales.